ACGGGGGGAGCAAGCGUUGUUCGGAUUUACUGGGCGUAAAGGGCGCGUAGGCGGCACCGCAAGUCACUUGUGAAAUCUCCGGGCUUAACCCGGAAAGGUCAACUGAUACUGCGGGGCUAGAGUGCAGAAGGGGCAACUGGAAUUCUCGGUGUAGCGGUGAAAUGCGUAGAUAUCGGGAGGAACACCGAUGGCGAAGGCAGCUGCCUGGCCUAGAACUGACGCUGAGGUGCGAAAGCGUGGGGAGCGAACGGGA
RNAcentral lists this ribosomal RNA (253 nucleotides) under uncultured prokaryote. RNAcentral's name for it is "partial 16S ribosomal RNA". It matches the Rfam family "Bacterial small subunit ribosomal RNA", at positions 525 to 777 of the family's 1533-position model. The record is from RNAcentral.